GGCCAUCUUGUCUUCACAACUUCCUUUAAACGGUUUCAGGUUUGGGAACAGCCUGUUGACAUCAGGAAUAUGGUUCCCCUCUUCACCAGGGUCUUGUGAUGACGUCAUAAGGAUUGUGACAGCGGAAGUUCCCUGACGUCAGGCCUUGCGCGAAGGAGGUCCUAGCAGCCGGGCGCUGCUAAAGCAGUCCUCGCCUCCACCUCUGAGACAAAGGACCAUGCGGGAAGAAUGAAGUCUACAUUUGUCCAGACUGGCAGAAGAAGUGCGUUUGAUCUCUGAAUUUGUGGGCUGAAGACACCACAGUUUAAGAAUUUGUGUAGAGAAUAAGCACACAUCCAAUGAAAAUAUUUGACUACGUUAUGAGUGGUUAACCUGAAGGAAAAGCCAUUUCUCUUGAUGUCAAGAACAGACUGAUGGAAAGAUUCUCCAGAGUGUUGUGAGUGUCCCAGUGGUCUCCAUGUCUUCACCAAUGCUUGGAAUUGUCAGAAAAUGUUGAUCUUUGUGAAACUAUUGUCACUUCUUCCCUUUACAUUAAAUUAAUUUUUUAAAAAGCGAAUCUACA
Suricata suricatta (meerkat) is the source of this 562-nucleotide long non-coding RNA. RefSeq lists it as uncharacterized. The transcript has 7 exons. NCBI's taxonomy places the organism in Eukaryota, Metazoa, Chordata, Mammalia, Carnivora, Herpestidae. The record is from RefSeq and is a predicted model, not a curated record.